AAAACAGAAGAUUAACUUUAUUGGAAUUGGCUUUAUUGGUGUUUUUUAUGCAGUUCACCUCCAAUAAUAUCACUUGUCAAUCAAACACUGGGCGGUGCUUUCUAGUGAUUAAUAAUUUGUUCUCUGACUAUUAAUGUCACGAAUCCCCGGCCGGGAUGACUGUUUGUUUGUCUAUGGUUGUUGUCUGGUGUUGUGUGCCACUCUCCUGGCAGUGCUUGAGGGGGCGUGCCUGUACCUGACUAUUCACACACCUGGCUGAGGUCUUCACCACACCUGCUCCUCAUCACUGUCUGCAGUAUUUAAGGAGCAGCCACACACCCAGUCUCUGCCGGAUCGUUGUGAAGUAUAGUGAAUCAGUCCAGUCCACUCAGCCUACACCUUGUGUAGCCGGCGUGUGGUUCACCACCCUCCAAGCCUGCCAGCCGACCACUCUCUGGAUCACUCUUUGUCAAAUAAACUGUUAACACUCAAA
Long non-coding RNA from Dicentrarchus labrax (European seabass), 472 nucleotides. RefSeq lists it as uncharacterized. The transcript has 2 exons. The record is from RefSeq and is a predicted model, not a curated record. Lineage: Eukaryota; Metazoa; Chordata; Actinopteri; Moronidae.